GACGAACGCUGGCGGCGUGCUUAACACAUGCAAGUCGAACGGAAAGGCUCCAGCUUGCUGGAGUACUCGAGUGGCGAACGGGUGAGUAACACGUGGGUAAUCUGCCCUGCACUCUGGGAUAAGCCUGGGAAACUGGGUCUAAUACUGGAUAUGACCUUUCUCCUUAUGGGGUUUGGUGGAAAGUUUUUCGGUGUAGGAUGAGCCCGCGGCCUAUCAGCUUGUUGGUGGGGUGAUGGCCUACCAAGGCGACGACGGGUAGCCGGCCUGAGAGGGUGAUCGGCCACAUUGGGACUGAGAUACGGCCCAGACUCCUACGGGAGGCAGCAGUGGGGAAUACUGCACAAUGGGCGGAAGCCUGAUGCAGCGACGCCGCGUGAGGGAUGACGGCCUUCGGGUUGUAAACCUCUUUCAGCAGGGACGAAGCGUAAGUGACGGUACCUGCAGAAGAAGCACCGGCUAACUACGUG
Molecule: ribosomal RNA, 467 nt
Filed under: uncultured bacterium
Lineage: Bacteria
Description: partial 16S ribosomal RNA
Rfam family: Bacterial small subunit ribosomal RNA
Source: RNAcentral